CCUAGCAUCAUCCGCGAUGGUUCCGUGCGGCAAAGCCGAUGCACGGAUGAAAAGGGAACACGGUGCGGCGUACCCAUCAGGGGCCAAGACCGUGGCUGCCCCCGCAACUGUAAGCGGAGAGCGGCGCCCACAAGCCACUGGCCAUUUCGGGCUGGGAAGGCGGGCGCAGCAAGGAUUCGCGAGCCAGGAGACCUGCCAUCACGUCCGGCGCACC
This 214-nucleotide non-coding RNA is filed under the name Stappia sp. The record is from RNAcentral. Lineage: Bacteria; Pseudomonadati; Pseudomonadota; Alphaproteobacteria; Hyphomicrobiales; Stappiaceae. RNAcentral also lists the same sequence under 1 other name.